RNAcentral lists this ribosomal RNA (429 nucleotides) under Bacteroidota bacterium. Its description in RNAcentral is "Bacteroidetes bacterium partial 16S ribosomal RNA". It matches the Rfam family "Bacterial small subunit ribosomal RNA", at positions 355 to 776 of the family's 1533-position model. The record is from RNAcentral. Lineage: Bacteria; Pseudomonadati; Bacteroidota.
UAGGGAAUCUUCCGCAAUGGACGCAAGUCUGACGGAGCAACGCCGCGUGAGUGAAGAAGGAUUUCGGUUCGUAAAACUCUGUUGUUAGAGAAGAACAGCGCAUAGAGUAACUGUUAUGCGUGUGACGGUAUCUAACCAGAAAGCCACGGCUAACUACGUGCCAGCAGCCGCGGUAAUACGUAGGUGGCAAGCGUUGUCCGGAUUUAUUGGGCGUAAAGCGAGCGCAGGCGGUCAAUUAAGUCUGAUGUGAAAGCCCCCGGCUCAACCGGGGAGGGUCAGUGGAAACUGGUUGACUUGAGUGCAGAAGAGGAGGGUGGAAUUCCAUGUGUAGCGGUGAAAUGCGUAGAUAUAUGGAGGAACACCAGUGGCGAAGGCGACUCUCUGGUCUGUAACUGACGCUGAGGCUCGAAAGCGUGGGUAGCAAACAGG